Molecule: ribosomal RNA, 502 nt
Filed under: uncultured bacterium
Lineage: Bacteria
Description: partial 16S ribosomal RNA
Rfam family: Bacterial small subunit ribosomal RNA
Source: RNAcentral
GACGAACGCUGGCGGCGUGCCUAAUACAUGCAAGUCGAACGAACCGCGACUAGGUGCUUGCACUUGGUCAAGGUGAGUGGCGAACGGGUGAGUAACACGUGGGUAACCUACCUCAUAGUGGGGGAUAACAGUCGGAAACGACUGCUAAUACCGCAUAGGACAUAGGAUCACAUGAUUCUGUGAGGAAAGGUGGCGCAAGCUAUCGCUAAGAGAUGGACCCGCGGUGCAUUAGCUAGUUGGUAGGGUAAAGGCCUACCAAGGCGAUGAUGCAUAGCCGACCUGAGAGGGUGAUCGGCCACAUUGGGACUGAGCCACGGCCCAAACUCCUACGGGAGGCAGCAGUAGGGAAUCUUCCGCAAUGGACGCAAGUCUGACGGAGCAACGCCGCGUGAGUGAAGAAGGUCUUCGGAUCGUAAAGCUCUGUUGUUAGAGAAGAACAGCGCAUAGAGUAACUGUUAUGCGUGUGACGGUAUCUAACCAGAAAGCCACGGCUAACUACGUG